Molecule: long non-coding RNA, 945 nt
Organism: Gambusia affinis (western mosquitofish)
Lineage: Eukaryota; Metazoa; Chordata; Actinopteri; Cyprinodontiformes; Poeciliidae
Exons: 4
Source: RefSeq, a predicted model, not a curated record
GAGGUGCAAACCAAGUCCAAGUUGGAGACCUGAGAGAUUGCUGAAUGGACGACGGUGCUUUUGAACUGGAAGUUGUCGCUUGAGCGGAUGGCGGAUGCUAUAACGUAGCCGCAUGAGGCUGCUUCGCAACUUUAACUGAGAUUAUACCCUCUUUGUGAGUAUAAUCUCAAGGAGCUGAUCGAAACUAAGGAUUUUCCUGAACGACAAAACCGGACUGACCAGUGGAGACUGGAAAUUUGCCAGGAGUUAUUGCUGGGACUUCAGGAACUCACUCACACGGAAUUUUGCAUGGAGAUCUGAAGCCUGAAAACAUCUUGUGCAGUUAAGCUUAAGGGGCAAACUGUAUUGUACUUUUAUCCACACAAAAACAAAAAUGCACAUUUUGAUAACAUUAUGUUGUGAUAAUUAUGACAAAUUUGAAUUUUAUUUGUCUACAGAUAUAAACAAUAAGAUAUAUAUUGGAGACUUUGGGGCAAGCAGAAAACUAGACCCACCACACACCACCAUGUAUUCACACAUGGCUGUAACUUUGUCCUGGAUGAGUUAUGAGUAUGUUGCAGAAAACAAAUACAAGAAGGAGUCAGAAGUCCAAGCAACACCAUACUCCAGGAAUCCCCUUGGGAUAUUAAAUAAUGUUGAAAUGGGCAACUUCACUCUUCAAUGUGAGGAAAAAUGGAGCAGCCAAAAAGAUAGAAUUUCCCGGAUGCUGAAUAGAUCCCUUGAAGAACGUCCCACCGUUGAAGAAGUCCCUCAGGCAUUCUUCCUGAUUAUACUGGAACCACGAACAACGCUGAGUUUGAGAAUCAAAAUAAAGAUGGACGCCAUUCAAUGAAUUUCUGCCCUGAAACUUCCAAUGACAUGAACAUUGCAGAGUGUGGUCACAGAUCUGCCUGACAUCACAGCCAGUGACCCGCUGCCUUCAUCUCCACCGACUGAAGAGGAAUU